AGGGCAUUUGGUGAAUGCCUUGGCAAUCAGAGGCGAAGAAGGACGUGGUACACUGCGAAAAGUUACGGGGAGUUGUGAACAAGCAUUGAUCCGUAAAUAUCCGAAUGGGGAAACCCACAGAGCAAUCUGUACUGCAUGAUGAAUAAAUAGUUAUGCAGGGCGAACGCAGGGAACUGAAACAUCUAAGUACCUGUAGGAAAGGAAAUCAACCGAGACUCCGAAAGUAGUGGCGAAAUCGGACCAGCCGAUGGAUAGUCAGUAAAGAAUCAGAAUUACCUGGAAAGGUAAGCCGGAGAGGGUGACAGCCCCGUACGAGUAGAAAAGCUGACUGUUCUUGAGUAAGGCGGAGCACGAGAAAUUCUGUCUGAAAAUGGGGAGACCACUCUCCAAGGCUAAGUACUACUGAUUGACCGAUAGUGAACAAGUACCGUGAGGGAAAGGUGAAAAGCACCCCUAUAAGGGGAGUGAAAGAGAACCUGAAACCGGAUGCCUACAAGCAGUCGGAGGGUCUAUAAGGCCUGACGGCGUACCUUUUGUAUAAUGGGUCAGCGACUUAAUUUAUGUAGCAAGCUUAAGCCGAUAGGUGUAGGCGUAGAGAAAUCGAGUGUUAACAGCGCGUUAAGUUACAUGAAUUAGACCCGAAACCGAGUGAUCUAGCCAUGAUCAGGUUGAAGGUUGGGUAACACCAACUGGAGGACCGAACCCACUCCCGUUGAAAAGGUAGGGGAUGAAUUGUGGCUAGGGGUGAAAGGCCAAUCAAACUCGGAAAUAGCUGGUUCUCCGCGAAAACUAUUUAGGUAGUGCGGUGAGCGGACACCUUGAGGGGUAGAGCACUGGAAGAGCUAAGGGGGAGCGAUCCUUACUAAACUUUACCAAACUCCGAAUACUCAAGAGUGAUACUCACCAGACAGACAUUAGGUGCUAAGGUCUAGUGUCGAGAGGGAAAGAGCCCAGACCGCCAAUUAAGGUCCCAAAAUUAUGGCUAAGUGGUAAAGGAAGUGAAACGUCCAAAACAGUCAGGAGGUUGGCUUAGAAGCAGCCAUCCUUUAAAGAAAGCGUAAUAGCUCACUGAUCUAAACAAGACGUCUUGCGCCGAAGAUGUAACGGGGCUAAAGCCAUAUACCGAAGUUGCGGAUUUACACGUUAAAGUGUAAGUGGUAGCGGAGCGUUCUGUAAGCCUGCGAAGGUGUACCGUAAGGUAUGCUGGAGGUAUCAGAAGUGAGAAUGCUGACAUGAGUAGCGAAAAGAAGAGUGAGAGACUCUUCCGCUGAAAGUCCAAGGUUUCCUGCGUAAAGCUAAUCUGCGCAGGGUUAGUCGGUCCCUAAGGCGAGGCAGAGAUGCGUAGUCGAUGGCAAUCAGGUUAAUAUUCCUGAACCGGCCCGGAAGUGACGGAUUGAGUAAAUUGUAAGUUCUUAUUGGAUUGAGCUUGCAGUGAAUCAGUCCCAGGAAAUAGCCCGGGCUAAGACCGUACCCGAAACCGACACAGGUGGACAGGUAGAGAAUACCAAAGCGCUUGAGAGAACUAUGUUGAAGGAACUAGGCAAAAUACUUGCGUAACUUCGGGAUAAGCAAGCCCCAUUUUAAGGCAACUUAGGGUGGGGGGCACAUACUAGGGGGUAGCGACUGUUUACUAAAAACACAGGGCUCUGCUAAAUUGAAAGAUGAAGUAUAGGGUCUGACGCCUGCCCGGUGCUGGAAGGUUAAGGAGAGAUGUGCAAGCAUUGAACUGAAGCCCCAGUAAACGGCGGCCGUAACUAUAACGGUCCUAAGGUAGCGAAAUUCCUUGUCGGGUAAGUUCCGACCUGCACGAAUGGCGUAACGACUUCCCCGCUGUCUCCAACAUAGGCUCAGCGAAAUUGAACUCUGAGUUAAGAUGCUCAGUACCCGCGGUUAGACGGAAAGACCCCGUGAACCUUUACUAUAGCUUGACACUGAACAUUGAGCCUUGAUGUGUAGGAUAGGUGGGAGGCUUUGAAGUGUGGACGCCAGUCUGCAUGGAGCCGACCUUGAAAUACCACCCUUUAAUGUUUGAUGUUCUAACGUGGGCCCCUUACCGGGGUUGCGGACAGUGUCUGGUGGGUAGUUUGACUGGGGCGGUCUCCUCCUAAAGAGUAACGGAGGAGCACGAAGGUUGGCUAAUCCUGGUCGGACAUCAGGAGGUUAGUGCAAUGGCAUAAGCCAGCUUGACUGCGAGCGUGACGGCGCGAGCAGGUGCGAAAGCAGGUCAUAGUGAUCCGGUGGUUCUGAAUGGAAGGGCCAUCGCUCAACGGAUAAAAGGUACUCCGGGGAUAACAGGCUGAUACCGCCCAAGAGUUCAUAUCGACGGCGGUGUUUGGCA
RNAcentral lists this ribosomal RNA (2338 nucleotides) under human gut metagenome. Its description in RNAcentral is "bacterial LSU rRNA". It matches the Rfam family "Bacterial large subunit ribosomal RNA", at positions 14 to 2523 of the family's 2925-position model. The record is from RNAcentral.